CGGGAUUUCAUUUGUAGCAAUACCGAUGAAGUCUAGUGGCGGACGGGUGCGUAACACGUGAGCAAUCUGCCGGGAAGUGGGGGAUAACUCCUCGAAAGGCGAAUUAAUACCGCAUACGGCCAGGGAGGACAUCCUCCCGAAGCCAAAGUCGCAAGACGCUUCCUGAUGAGCUCGCGGCCUAUCAGCUAGUUGGUGAGGUAACGGCUCACCAAGGCUAUGACGGGUAGCUGGUCUGAGAGGACGACCAGCCACACUGGAACUGAGACACGGUCCAGACACCUACGGGUGGCAGCAGUCGAGAAUUUUUCACAAUGGGGGAAACCCUGAUGGAGCGACGCCGCGUGGAGGAUGAAGGUCUUCGGAUUGUAAACUCCUGUCAAAUGGGAACAAGAAAGUGAUAGUACCAUUAGAGGAAGAGACGGCUAACUCUGUGCCAGCAGCCGCGGUAAUACAGAGGUCUCAAGCGUUGUUCGGAUUCAUUGGGCGUAAAGGGUGCGCAGGCUGCGGGGUAAGUCGGAUGUGAAAUUUAGGGGCUCAACCUCUAAACUGCAUUCGAUACUGCUCUGCUAGAGGACUGUAGAGGAGAUUGGAAUUCACGGUGUAGCAGUGAAAUGCGUAGAUAUCGUGAGGAAGACCAGUGGCGAAGGCGAAUCUCUGGGCAGUUCCUGACGCUCAUGCACGAAGGCCAGGGGAGCAAACGGGAUUAGAUACCCCGGUAGUCCUGGCAGUAAACGGUGCACGUUUGGUGUGGGAGGAUUCGACCCCUUCCGUGCCGGAGCUAACGCGUUAAACGUG
Molecule: ribosomal RNA, 795 nt
Filed under: uncultured Verrucomicrobiota bacterium
Lineage: Bacteria; Pseudomonadati; Verrucomicrobiota
Description: bacterial SSU rRNA
Rfam family: Bacterial small subunit ribosomal RNA
Source: RNAcentral